Phalacrocorax carbo (great cormorant) is the source of this 2371-nucleotide non-coding RNA. NCBI's taxonomy places the organism in Eukaryota, Metazoa, Chordata, Aves, Suliformes, Phalacrocoracidae. The record is from RefSeq and is a predicted model, not a curated record.
CAGAGGCACUAUUUAAACAUGUUGAUGAAUUGAGCUGAAUUUCUCCCCACCUCCAUUCCAGCAAAACAAGGAGGCUCAGAAGAUAUAUAUUUUUUUUUUUGUUAUUGCAAGUAGUGCUAUGUGGGGCACAAGAAGCUGGGCAGGGAGGGGGCACAGCCAAGGAAGCUGAUCCAAUCUGGCCAAAGCGAUAUUCCAUAUCAUAUGAUGUCACGUCCAGUAUAUUAACUGGGACGAGUUGGCUGAGGAAAGCAGCGAUCGCGGCUCGGGGACCGGCAGCAUCGGUCGGCAUGUGAUUUGCCUUGAUUCUCCAGGUCCAGCUGAGGUUUACAGAACAAGCGAUAGCCCACCCCAGAAGUCAGUGGCAGAAGGCCCAAGCACUAAGAUGAAAAUUUCUGUCUUCAGCUCUUUUUGAAUGGUUUGAGCAUGACCUUUCUGAUGGGAGCGUGUAGAGCCACCUACUCACUGCACAGGGAAUGGGCAUCUCCUGCUUAAUGGAAAUGCUUAAGUCCAGACUGUGUGUGCGCCAGAAGAUGCUUGAGUGUUUCCAGCUGGAUGGGGUGUGGUGGGUACUGCUCUGCAGCAGGCAGCAGUAGCUUGGUGGGAGCCACGAGGUGUCCCUGCAUGGCUGCGAGGGGUCACUGCCACGCACACCUGGAUGGGAUCCUGUGGACAUGCCCACCCUGCAUUGAAUCACCUGGCGCUGGGGUGUCCCAGCCCUGACCAUCCCUUUGAGUCAGGUCAGCUGCUUGGAGCAGAAAAGAUGAGGAACUGGUGGGAGUUCCCUGGAAAACCAUUGGGGUGGGGAAAUGGUAUCUGGCUGAGCUUCUGCAGGAUGUUUAUCAGAGUCUGUGGCACAUAAAUUGCUUCCAGAUCUAAGCCAGAUAUGGAAACAAGUCAGGUGCUUUUGAGCUGUGCUGCAUUUAGAGGGGUAAUUCAGCAGCUUCAGCUUGCUGCUGCAUCUGCAAGUGGGUGGUGACCUGCCAGGGUCUUUGCUGCUUAUGCAGCAGGUUAAUCCGUUGCUUGGCCACUGGCUGCCCACAGCUGCCAGCGAGUUGACUACAAGCCCCUCUUCUAUCUGGAUGCCUCUCAUAAUGGAUGCUUUCCAACUAGAAAGAUACAAACAUGCUAGUGUGCUGUAUUAGGCAUAAAAGAGAGCUACCUGAUAGGAAUUAGACACUCACUGACACCUUUUCCAUUUUUAGCAUUAUAAAACACAGACAGUUAUCUGCAUGAUAAAAAGGAGGAAAAGGUUACAAUAUUAUUGCAGCAUAAGAUUAUGCUUCUCUUUUAUGGCGAAGUUUUAUUUUCAUUUUACUGUGAACAGUGGGGUUAUGUAUUAACGUAAUGGGUAAAUAUUUUUUAACAAAUUUAAAGCAUACUUAAUCUGUGGAACUCAUUCCAAUAGGAAGUUACAGAAACCACAAAUAAAAAUGACUUAAUAAUGACAAAUUAAUGACUAAGAGGUUCAUCAGUGCCUGUUAAGUACCCUGAUCCAAAUGUAAACUCCAGUUAAAUAUGUUCCUAAACUGGAAACUACUAGUAAGGGAAGUGUUCUUGUGAAAGAAACACUGUUUAAUUGCUUUGUUUUUAAUCAGAUUUUCUUCAGCUGACAUCUCUGAUUCCAGACUAGGUAGAGCCUCAUUCUGAGUGUAUAGAAUUUUAAAUAUUCGACCUUCCUUUCAUGUAAUAACUUUACUCUUUCCAAAUGGAGAUCUUGCCAUUUAAGACAUACUUGCUAGCAAUAUUCAGUAUUCCAGGAGAUGCCAGGCAGGAUUUGCUGAAGAGACACCUUUGCCCAUGCCACAUUUUCAAAGGAAUUUUAGUGAGAUGUCUGUGGGGACUGAGUUUGGUUAGCAUCAUUCAGAAGUUUAGUCACUGUCUUUUUUUUCUCAUUUGUCCGGGAAAAGACUGAACUUAUGCCAGCUAAGAUCACUACCCUUCAGAAAGUAGUGUCUGAGACCUUAUUGUGGUAUGAAGAGAUACAGAGACCACACUACCUAGCUCUGGAAAAGCAUAGCUGGGAUUUGAGAAGGUCUUGCAGGGAUUAGUAGAAUGCAAUGGAAAACAGACUUCAAUUUCUCUAAACCUGUGCUAUGGAAAGUAAGACUGCAAUCACAAAGUCCUGGAGAAGGGCUCUUUCUGCACCACUUUUGGGAGGCUGAAGGGCUCUUCCACCACUGAUACAUUUGUUAGGUAUGACAAAGAGGAAGGUCACACGCUCUGGCAUGCUGGCUGUAUUGCUAAUGUGCUGCUUCAAAGAAAUUGAAGGCAGUUAGGAAAGUAUAUGUAUGUACAGAGAAAUUAAUCAGUGUUUAUAAACAUAGAAACAGAUUUCUGCUAGUUAUUUCUAAUAAAUCUGGAAUUACUUUAA